This 1245-nucleotide long non-coding RNA is filed under the name Prunus persica (peach). RNAcentral describes it as "long non-coding RNA (PPER_LNC004326)". The record is from RNAcentral. Lineage: Eukaryota; Viridiplantae; Streptophyta; Magnoliopsida; Rosales; Rosaceae.
UGUACAUAUUUCUGGACUUCAAGCCCUUACAUAAUUGUCCAUAUUUUGAGGAACUUCUGGCAUCUCAUUUAAUUGCUCAUCCAUGAGUUUAAGGAACUGCAGGUUCCAGUACAUUUGCCAGUACAGUUAUCAUCCAUGUGUACGGCAUUAUGAACCAAUACGGUACUGUUACAUCAUUAAGGAACCCCAGGUCCUUAUUUACAUGUCAGGGAUCAAGGACCCUCAAGUCCGAUCACAUGUUUACAAAUAUAGUACCAGAGAGACUGCCAGCUCUCAUAUUAACAUCAUCAUCAAGGAUCUUCAAGUCCUGAUGUAAUUGUAUGAUGAGGAUCAAGGAACUUCUGGUCCUGAUCUAUAUACUGUAAAAAAACUCAUCAUACAGCACAUUUAGUCCAUAAAAUAAAUUGCUGGUAAAUAAAUUACUGGUAUGGACGAUAAACCCGCACCAUACAUUUAAAUAAAAGUAAAGGCGUGGACGAUAAACCCGCACCACCCUUUUAAAUAAAUGUAAAUGUGCGGUAAAUUAAAUUCAUAAAUUAAAUUGCUUGCUGUAUGGACGUUAAUCCCGCACCAUACUUUAAAUAAAAUUAAAUGUGCGGUAUAGUAAACGUGCUUGUAUGGGCACUAAUUCUGCUCCAUACAUUUAAAUAAAAGCAAAGGUGUGGACGAUAAACCCGCACCACCCUUUAAAUAAAUAUUGCCGUAUGGGUAAUAAACCUACACCAUACCAUAAAUAAAAUAGAUAAGCAAAGGCGUGGACGAUAAACCCGCACCACCCUUUAAAUAAAUAUUGCCGUAUGGGUAAUAAACCUACACCAUACCAUAAAUAAAAUAGAUAAGCAAAGGCGUGGACGAUAAACCCGCACCACCCUUUAAAUAAAUGUAAAUGUGCGGUAAAUUAAAUUCGUAAAGUAAACGUGCUUGUAUGGGCACUAAUUCUGCUCCAUACAUUUAAAUAAAAGCAAAGGCGUGGGCGAUAAAUCCGCACCACCCUUUUAAAUAAAUACUGUUGUAUGAGUAAUAAACCUACACCAUACAGUAAAUAAAAUAAAUGUGCGGUAAAGUAAAUUUCAUAAAGUAAAGUGUUAGUAUUAGUAACGGUCUCCCACUGAUAAUAUGUUUAGUAUUACCAAGGUUCCAUUUUUGUUAAUGGUUAGUAAAAGAAAAGCAGAUAAAUAUAAUAGGAAAUAAUAGAGAAGAUAAGGGAGCAGAAAUCUUAUUGCUUAUGCCCUUGCUGAGUGAUCC